GAUGAAGAACGUAGUGAAAUGCGAUACGUAAUGUGAAUUGCAGAAUUCAGUGAAUCAUCGAAUCUUUGAACGCACAUUGCGCCCGCCAGUAUUCUGGCGGGCAUGCCUGUUCGAGCGUCAUUACAACCCUCAGGCCCCCGGGCCUGGCGUUGGGGAUCGGCGGAAGCCCCCUGCGGGCACAACGCCGUCCCCCAAAUACAGUGGCGGUCCCGCCGCAGCUUCCAUUGCGUAGUAGCUAACACCUCGCAACUGGAGAGCGGCGCGGCCACGCCGUAAAACACCCAACUUCUGAAUGUUGACCUCGAAUCAGGUAGGAAUACCCGCUGAACUUAAGCAUAUCAAUAAGCGGAGGA
RNAcentral lists this unclassified non-coding RNA (353 nucleotides) under soil metagenome. Its description in RNAcentral is "partial contains 5.8S ribosomal RNA, internal transcribed spacer 2, and large subunit ribosomal RNA". The stretch from base 1 to 120 matches the Rfam family "5.8S ribosomal RNA", at positions 35 to 154 of the family's 154-position model. The record is from RNAcentral.